Molecule: ribosomal RNA, 444 nt
Filed under: uncultured Marinobacter sp.
Lineage: Bacteria; Pseudomonadati; Pseudomonadota; Gammaproteobacteria; Pseudomonadales; Marinobacteraceae
Description: bacterial SSU rRNA
Rfam family: Bacterial small subunit ribosomal RNA
Source: RNAcentral
CCGUACGAGCGCACCCCUAUCCCUAGUUGCUAGCAGUUCGGGCUGAGAACUCUAGGGAGACUGCCGGUGACAAACCGGAGGAAGGUGGGGAUGACGUCAGGUCAUCAUGGCCCUUACGGCCAGGGCUACACACGUGCUACAAAGGUGCGCACAGAGGGCUGCAAACCCGCGAGGGGGAGCCAAUCUCACAAAACGCAUCGUAGUCCGGAUCGCAGUCUGCAACUCGACUGCGUGAAGUCGGAAUCGCUAGUAAUCGUGAAUCAGAAUGUCACGGUGAAUACGUUCCCGGGCCUUGUACACACCGCCCGUCACACCAUGGGAGUGGAUUGCACCAGAAGUGGUUAGUCUAACCUUCGGGAGGACGAUCACCACGGUGUGGUUCAUGACUGGGGUGAAGUCGUAACAAGGUAGCCGUAGGGGAACCUGCGGCUGGAUCACCUCCUU